This 497-nucleotide ribosomal RNA is filed under the name uncultured bacterium. Its description in RNAcentral is "partial 16S ribosomal RNA". It matches the Rfam family "Bacterial small subunit ribosomal RNA", at positions 28 to 507 of the family's 1533-position model. The record is from RNAcentral.
GAUGAACGCUGGAGGCGUGCCUAAUACAUGCAAGUCGAGCGAACAGACGAGGAGCUUGCUCCUCUGACGUUAGCGGCGGACGGGUGAGUAACACGUGGAUAACCUACCUAUAAGACUGGGAUAACUUCGGGAAACCGGAGCUAAUACCGGAUAAUAUAUUGAACCGCAUGGUUCAAUAGUGAAAGACGGUUUUGCUGUCACUUAUAGAUGGAUCCGCGCCGCAUUAGCUAGUUGGUAAGGUAACGGCUUACCAAGGCAACGAUGCGUAGCCGACCUGAGAGGGUGAUCGGCCACACUGGAACUGAGACACGGUCCAGACUCCUACGGGAGGCAGCAGUAGGGAAUCUUCCGCAAUGGGCGAAAGCCUGACGGAGCAACGCCGCGUGAGUGAUGAAGGUCUUCGGAUCGUAAAACUCUGUUAUUAGGGAAGAACAAAUGUGUAAGUAACUAUGCACGUCUUGACGGUACCUAAUCAGAAAGCCACGGCUAACUACGUG